CCUACGUGAGGCAGCAGUGGGGAAUAUUGGACAAUGGGGGGAACCCUGAUCCAGCGACGCCGCGUGAGUGAAGAAGUAUUUCGGUAUGUAAAGCUCUAUCAGCAGGGAAGAAAGAAAUGACGGUACCUGACUAAGAAGCCCCGGCUAACUACGUGCCAGCAGCCGCGGUAAUACGUAGGGGGCAAGCGUUAUCCGGAUUUACUGGGUGUAAAGGGAGCGUAGACGGCGAUGCAAGUCUGAAGUGAAAGGCGGGGGCCCAACCUCCGGACUGCUUUGGAAACUGUAUGGCUGGAGUGCAGGAGAGGUAAGUGGAAUGCCUAGUGUAGCGGUGAAAUGCGUAGAUAUUAGGAGGAACACCAGUGGCGAAGGCGGCUUACUGGACUGUAACUGACGUUGAGGCUCGAAAGCGUGGGUAUCGAACAGGAUUAGAUACCCUUGUAGUC
RNAcentral lists this ribosomal RNA (443 nucleotides) under uncultured bacterium. RNAcentral's name for it is "partial 16S ribosomal RNA". It matches the Rfam family "Bacterial small subunit ribosomal RNA", at positions 338 to 795 of the family's 1533-position model. The record is from RNAcentral.